ACGGAUGAGUAACACGUAGGCAACCUGCCCUCAAGCUUGGGACAACUACCGGAAACGGUAGCUAAUACCGAAUACUUGUUUUCUUCGCCUGAAGGAAACUGGAAAGACGGAGUAAUCUGUCACUUGAGGAUGGGCCUGCGGCGCAUUAGCUAGUUGGUGAGGUAACGGCUCACCAAGGCGACGAUGCGUAGCCGACCUGAGAGGGUGAUCGGCCACACUGGGACUGAGACACGGCCCAGACUCCUACGGGAGGCAGCAGUAGGGAAUCUUCCGCAAUGGGCGAAAGCCAGACGGAGCAGUGCCGCGUGAGUGAUGAAGGUUUUCGGAUCGUAAAGCUCUGUUGCCAGGGAAGAACGCUUAGGAGAGUAACUGCUCCUGAGGUGACGGUACCUGAGAAGAAAGCCCCGGCUAACUACGUGCCAGCAGCCGCGGUAAUACGUAGGGGGCAAGCGUUGUCCGGAAUUAUUGGGCGUAAAGCGCGCGCAGGCGGUCAUCUAAGUCUGGUGUUUAAUCCCGGGGCUCAACCCCGGAUCGCACUGGAAACUGGGUGACUUGAGUGCAGAAGAGGAGAGUGGAAUU
RNAcentral lists this ribosomal RNA (579 nucleotides) under uncultured bacterium. RNAcentral describes it as "bacterial SSU rRNA". It matches the Rfam family "Bacterial small subunit ribosomal RNA", at positions 102 to 668 of the family's 1533-position model. The record is from RNAcentral.